CAGGCGGGAGAGCCCAGUCAAUGGGCACCGACGGUGCAACUUCCUCCCCAGGAAUCUCUCAGGUACCCUUACCGC
Molecule: non-coding RNA, 75 nt
Filed under: uncultured Yaniella sp.
Lineage: Bacteria; Bacillati; Actinomycetota; Actinomycetes; Micrococcales; Micrococcaceae
Description: Glycine riboswitch
Rfam family: Glycine riboswitch aptamer
About the family: This family represents the bacterial glycine riboswitch.
Source: RNAcentral